Macaca mulatta (Rhesus monkey) is the source of this 424-nucleotide non-coding RNA. Lineage: Eukaryota; Metazoa; Chordata; Mammalia; Primates; Cercopithecidae. The record is from RefSeq and is a predicted model, not a curated record.
GAGAUGUCCACUCCUGAGUCCCUGGAACCUGUAAAUGUGUUACCUUACACAGCAGAAGGGACUCUGCAGAUGUGAUUAAGGUUAGAGACCUUGCAACAGAGAGAACAGCCUGGAUUCUCCAGGUGGUCAAAUGUGUGGGAGUGAAAUGUGAGUUCGAAAUGCCUUCCCAGGACUCAGUAUGGCUCAUUUCCCUCCUUGCCAUGAGCUGCAUGUCCCCAUGAUUCCAGGCAGCCCGCCUGGAUAUCUGUUCCUGGCUAUCGGAAGAGCCCGGUGAAGUCCUCCUGCCCCUGAGAAGAUCGAAGACUCUGUAGUGGUCAAGGUUCCUUCUCCAGCCAGAUGUGUUUUCUAGGAUUAGACCUUUCAAAUGGUGGCCAGGCCUUCUGAGGUCACAUGCAGCAAUAAAAGCAAGCUGCGGCUAACUUUU